UGGCGGACGGGUGAGUAACGCGUGGGUAACCUGCCUCAUACAGGGGGAUAACAGUUAGAAAUGACUGCUAAUACCGCAUAAGACCACAGCACCGCAUGGUGCAGGGGUAAAAACUCCGGUGGUAUGAGAUGGACCCGCGUCUGAUUAGGUAGUUGGUGGGGUAACGGCCUACCAAGCCGACGAUCAGUAGCCGACCUGAGAGGGUGGCCGGCCACAUUGGGACUGAGACACGGCCCAA
This 238-nucleotide ribosomal RNA is filed under the name uncultured bacterium. RNAcentral describes it as "partial 16S ribosomal RNA". It matches the Rfam family "Bacterial small subunit ribosomal RNA", at positions 96 to 334 of the family's 1533-position model. The record is from RNAcentral.